Molecule: long non-coding RNA, 2000 nt
Organism: Mustela putorius furo (domestic ferret)
Lineage: Eukaryota; Metazoa; Chordata; Mammalia; Carnivora; Mustelidae
Source: Ensembl
GCUCAGAGUCACCCCAGCUUUCAUCGCUCUCCUUCUUCCUCUGACGGUUCAAUUCUGCGUAACCUCGGUUUAGAACUCUGAACAUCAGACAUGGUAGACCGUCCCAUCUCACAAGUCAAGGUGUUUGCUUCGGGAAGGUGUUUGUAGGGGGAUGAAGUCAAAGUCACGUGUCACAGACCACAUUUUACCUUUCACAGUCUUUCAUAUGUGAUCUCAGCAGAGCCUUGCAGUCACCCUGGGAAGUGGGCAAAGCUUGCUUCUGAGCCCAUUUUAUAAGGAGGAAACUGAGAAGGGAAGAAGAUGGGCAUUCCAGGACCUUGACCAAAAGACAUUAUGAAUGGACUCCUUAGGAUAGCCCGUUAUUAUUAUCCUUAGGAAAGACGUGUGCGUCGAAGUGCCUCAAGAAACCAAGAGCAAAGCCAUCCACUUCUUUGCCUUUAAGAAGAUAUUUGUGAGGAGACGGAGAGGCUCAGCAGGGACUAGCAACUUGCCUAAUGUCACACAGGGAAUCAGUGGAGCCUCCCUUCACACUGGGUCCUACUGGGCUCCCAGGUCUCUGCCCUCUGCUUCACCACGUGGGUUUUCAUUCAACAUUAGUUCCUGGAUGUGGGAAGAAACUUCUCCAAGGGAAGAAAAUCAAUCAGUCCUCUUACGAAAUGGAAUCUUGGAAGAAUUCCUUCAGCAAUACUGCUUUACAAUGGCAAUAAAUCCCUUGGAGUCGGUGGAGGUGGGGGGGGGGGGACACUGUUUGAAGAAUCUUUCAUCUUCCAUAACUCCACACUCUUCACCUGGCUGGUGCUAGGAAUUCUGGUCAACGGCCAGACUUUUCCUAUCACCAGGAAGGCCUUCGUCCCCUAAGAGAAUGAAAAGGAAUCCGGAUAUCUGAGGAAGUACAAGUUGGUACCAGGAUCAUAAGUUAGGUGCCCCUGUCUGCCCCACAAGGCUUUCCUAUCUUAACUGGAAAAAUAAUGGAAAGCCACUGAAAGGAUUUUAACAAGGAAGCAGGGUACAGCUCGAUUUGCAUUUUAACGGGAAGGGCCCAGAAACGAUUUGUUUUUCAAGAUCAGAAGUUAGCUGCCCAUGGUUCACAAGAGACCCCUCCCAGGGCCAAAGCUUGCUGUGGCCAAAGCUCACCAGGAGUGAAUGGCACUGAAAUCCAGCUCACGACCCCCUCACAAAGUCAUUUUGUGGAGUGGGACUAAGGACGGAAGGAAAGGCCUUUCCCUAAUUUGCACCAUGUGCCCUGGGCUCCUUGCAGUCCCAGUUGCUAUAAUUCUGGAAAAGACAAGACAAGAUGCUGAACAAAGGCAGUGGCAAUGAGAUUAGAGAGAAGGGGACAAGUUCACAUUGGCCUCAUGGGGUCUGAGGUGCUUAUGUGCAUGGUACCCGUCAAAAGACAUCCUUAUGUGACUGGAAAUUAACUAAAGGCUGGCUCUGAAAAUAGAAUCUGGAAGUUGCUCCUGCACACCCAAAGGAUCGUCUGUGGAAUGUGGACUGAGAUUGCGUCUCUGCCGUCAGGUGCAAAAGGCAUCGUUACUUACGGAGCUGUACUAGAAGGCAAGUAGAAAGUUCCAGGAAGAAAUGAUUAAUGUUCAACAGAAGGUCCCUCCUGGAUCAAUCUGCCAAGCUUAUUGGCUCCACGCACAUGAGCCCACCUAAAUCUAAACCCAUAACAUACACGUAAUGCAAGAGAAGUCGAACUUUCCUCCUGCUUCCCAAAUAGCCUCUUCUCAUGCACUCUGCUAACAGUCUGGAUGGAUACAAACAGCUGUUCUUUGCAAGAAUGCUAGAAAUUCUUCACUGACAGAUGGCAGCAAUUCCCUAGGGUGUAUACACACACACACACACACACACACACACACGCACACACGCACGUGCGCACACAGAAACUUUAGUAAGGUCAAUAACACUGAUAUUCAUCAACGGAGUUAUUAAAAUUUAGAGUCAGAAAGGCCUGGAAUUGAAAAACCCAAGCUUGUGUUUUUUUCUGGGCUUGAUGC